AAAAGGAUAAACCUUGAGUUUCCGUGUCUAAUUUUGACUGUCCGUCUUAUAUAAUUUUUUUUUAUAAUUCGUAUUUUCAUUAUUGUUAGAUGAUAAAACAUGAUUAAUAUUUUAUGCGUGACUUGUUUUUUUAAUUUUUUUUAUAAUUUUUUUAAAUAAGACGGAUGAUCCAAUGUUACAAACGGAAAUCAGGGUUUGUCUUUUU
MicroRNA precursor from Oryza sativa Japonica Group (Japanese rice), 205 nucleotides. It matches the Rfam family "MIR812 microRNA precursor family". Lineage: Eukaryota; Viridiplantae; Streptophyta; Magnoliopsida; Poales; Poaceae. The record is from Rfam.